This is a long non-coding RNA of Erigeron canadensis, 437 nucleotides long. RefSeq lists it as uncharacterized. The record is from RefSeq and is a predicted model, not a curated record. The transcript is spliced from 2 exons. NCBI's taxonomy places the organism in Eukaryota, Viridiplantae, Streptophyta, Magnoliopsida, Asterales, Asteraceae.
AGAAACUGGAAGCAGCCUCUCUACUUUGGUAGAGGGUGUGAUUCUAUGAAGUAUAUGAGGAAGACAUACAUAGGGUAAAUGUGGACAAUAAUCCAUGAAAGUCCCUUAGCCACCGGAGCAAACGAGAUUAAGUAUCUAAUGUAUAAGUGCGGAAAUUCUUAUACACUAGCAAUCAACAAUAAGAACACGAAUAUGAAUAAACUGGAACUGUAAAGUUCUAUCAUGGUGGUGGAAGAAUUUAACGCAUUCUUGCCGCUUCAUCGUGUGUAGUUAAUAGGGUUAAUUAGUAGGGUUAAUUACUUUUGUUAACUAAACUACAUAUAUUUGAUAAUGACUUUACGUAAAAGAAAGAUCUAUAUCUAUAUACAUAUAAAGUUGUGACCUUGAAGGUGGUUUAGCCCCUCUCUUUAUGAUAUUAAUUAAAGAUUUCAUUAAUA